This 466-nucleotide ribosomal RNA is filed under the name uncultured bacterium. RNAcentral describes it as "partial 16S ribosomal RNA". It matches the Rfam family "Bacterial small subunit ribosomal RNA", at positions 28 to 507 of the family's 1533-position model. The record is from RNAcentral.
GACGAACGCUGGCGGUGUGCUUAACACAUGCAAGUCGAACGGUAAGGCCCUUUCGGGGGUACACGAGUGGCGAACGGGUGAGUAACACGUGAGUAACCUGCCCUCAUCUCUGGGAUAACAGUCGGAAACGGUUGCUAAUACUGGAUAUGAGCUUGCAAGGCAUCUUGUGGGUUGGAAAGAUUUUUUUGGUUGGGGAUGGACUCGCGGCCUAUCAGCUUGUUGGUGAGGUAGUGGCUCACCAAGGCUUCGACGGGUAGCCGGCCUGAGAGGGCGACCGGCCACAUUGGGACUGAGAUACGGCCCAAACUCCUACGGGAGGCAGCAGAGGGGAAUAUUGCACAAUGGACGGAAGUCUGAUGCAGCAACGCCGCGUGCGGGAUGACGGCCUUCGGGUUGUAAACCGCUUUCAAUUGUGACGAAGCUUUUUGUGACGGUAGCAGUAGAAGAAGCACCGGCUAACUACGUG